UCAAACCAAAGAAACCCUACUUCUCCCCAAUUUGUACGUGCGGCAGACCCCACCCCCUCAUCGUUCUUGGAGUCAACGACAGACCCCACCCUUUCUCGAAACCCUCUUCAGUUUCAUUUUGACGGACGUAUCUAACCAACUCUUAAACAAGUAACAUAACCUACCGAGCACUCUAAGGUCGUUAGGUACUUGGAAACAGGAACUUGC
This is a long non-coding RNA of Helianthus annuus (common sunflower), 207 nucleotides long. RefSeq lists it as uncharacterized. The record is from RefSeq and is a predicted model, not a curated record. The transcript is spliced from 3 exons. NCBI's taxonomy places the organism in Eukaryota, Viridiplantae, Streptophyta, Magnoliopsida, Asterales, Asteraceae.